CCUACGGGAGGCAGCAGUGAGGAAUAUUGGUCAAUGGACGAGAGUCUGAACCAGCCAAGUAGCAUGAAGGAUGACUGCCCUAUGGGUUGUAAACUUCUUUUAUAAAGGAAUAAAACGAGGCACGUGUGCCUUUUUGCAUGUACUUUAUGAAUAAGGAUCGGCUAACUCCGUGCCAGCAGUCGCGGUAAUACGGAGGAUCCGAGCGUUAUCCGGAUUUAUUGGGGUUAAAGGGAGCGUAGAUGGGUUGUUAAGUCAGUUGUGAAAGUUUGCGGCUCAACCGUAAAAUUGCAAUUGAUACUGGCAGUCUUGAGUACGUUUGAGGUAUGCGGAAUGCGUGGUGUAGCGGUGAAAUGCUUAGAUAUCACGAAGAACCCCGAUUGCGAAGGCAGCAUACUAAACUGUGACUGACAUUGAUGCUCGAAAGUGUGGGUAUCAAACAGGAUUAGAUACCCGUGUAGUC
RNAcentral lists this ribosomal RNA (460 nucleotides) under uncultured bacterium. Its description in RNAcentral is "partial 16S ribosomal RNA". It matches the Rfam family "Bacterial small subunit ribosomal RNA", at positions 338 to 795 of the family's 1533-position model. The record is from RNAcentral.